CCUACGGGAGGCAGCAGUGGGGAAUAUUGCACAAUGGGCGCAAGCCUGAUGCAGCAACGCCGCGUGAGGGAUGACGGCCUUCGGGUUGAAACCUCUUUUAGCAGGGAAGCGGUACCUGCAGAAAAAGCACCGGCUAACUACGUGCCAGCAGCCGCGGUAAUACGUAGGGUGCAAGCGUUAUCCGGAAUUAUUGGGCGUAAAGAGCUCGUAGGCGGUUUGUCGCGUCUGCUGUGAAAUCUGGGGGCUCAACCCCCAGCCUGCAGUGGGUACGGGCAGACUAGAGUGCGGUAGGGGAGAUUGGAAUUCCUGGUGUAGCGGUGGAAUGCGCAGAUAUCAGGAGGAACACCGAUGGCGAAGGCAGAUCUCUGGGCCGUACUGACGCUGAGGAGCGAAAGGGUGGGGAGCAAACAGGCUUAGAUACCCUUGUAGUC
Molecule: ribosomal RNA, 431 nt
Filed under: uncultured bacterium
Lineage: Bacteria
Description: partial 16S ribosomal RNA
Rfam family: Bacterial small subunit ribosomal RNA
Source: RNAcentral